This is a long non-coding RNA of Lineus longissimus, 1964 nucleotides long. RefSeq lists it as uncharacterized. The transcript has 3 exons. Lineage: Eukaryota; Metazoa; Nemertea; Pilidiophora; Heteronemertea; Lineidae. The record is from RefSeq and is a predicted model, not a curated record.
UGGUAUCCAGAAAGAGGAGAUGGAGUGAUGUAACAGUUAAAACAUGGAUUGUACUUUUUACCUGUUUAUAAACAGACGUGCAGAUCUUAAAGAGGGAUGCAGAGAACUGCUGUAGGCGCAGAUAUGCACUUCCACCUGAUGACCCAGACUGGAAAUAAGCACAGACGAUCUAAGCUGAUAUGGCACAAUCGUCCAACUGGUUAACAACUGGCCGAGACCAGUCAACAUGCUGGGUUGCAGCUCCAACUCCACUACCAAAUUUUCACUGGGAUCAGCAGCUGACUGCAGAAAUAUCUGUCUGGAGUUGAAGAGAACGAUAAGAAAGUUACAAGCUUUGUUUUACCAGUCCUUCGAUGGUGAAGUAGGUGCAGGAUGUCAUGACAUGAGCAUGAAAAAUAUUGUGGAAGAUCUACCUGGAUGCAGUUAAAGAAUCUCCCUACUUUGAUUUCUCUUGUUAGCUAGUUAGCUCACCUCUGGGGAGCUUAUACGAUACCGCGACGUAACCUUUUUACCGCGGCUUAUACGAUACCACAUCUGCAUACCAGUAAUUAUGUGCAAAUAUCAUUUUUGCUUUGAAGCAAUAUCGUUGCUACACUCCUAAAGCAAUGGCUGUCUUCAGGCCUUUUCUGCCUCGUGGGCAAAUCUGCAUACCAGUUAUUAUAUGCAUACUUAAGUUUUGCUUUGAAGCAAUAUCAGUGCUACACUUGUGAAGCAGUGGCAGUGUUUAGGUCUUGUCUGCCUCACUGACUUAUCUGCAUACCAUCUCUUUCUUUGGAGCAGUACAGUUGUAAGAUAAAUCCUGUUUGUAAUUUUAUAAAUUAGUUGCUCAUUAAGGGCUUACGAAGGUUUUGAUGCCUUGCUGGCAUAUCUGCAUACCAGUAAAUAUGUGCAGAUUCAUUUCUUGCUUUGAAGCAAUAUUGUUGCUACACUCCUAAAGCGGUGGCAAUGUUCAAGUCUUUUCUGCCUCGCGGGCAAAUCUGCGUACCAGUAAUUAUGUGCAGAUUUGGCUCUUCCUGAGAUUGUAGGACUGGGUCCAUUGAAUGUAACAAAAAUAAUCGAUGCCUAUUUACAAAUGAAAUGAAGAGUGUGCAUUUUGGUGCAACUCCAUAUAACUGUCGGGUGAUUUCGCUCUGAACUUGUGACACUCUGAUCGGUCUGAAAUAAAUCAAUAUCCCGCCCCUCUGGGAAAAAUUUGCAGCCAGAUUGCACCAUUGCCUGUUACUGUCUGAGAGAUGGCAAUGUCAGGGGUUCAUGACGGUGGUUAAACCUAUUGCGAAUGGGCAGCACAAUUGGGUGUAGGAUAUUCCGAAACCAUUGCACACUCCUGAAUCUGCGGUGGGUUGGUACCCCACGCUAUGUAAGGAGUAGGUUUCUGGGUAAGACUUGGUCCACGUGAAUGGGUCGUGCCUUAAAAAUGAUGAGAAGUUGCGAAUUGACGCCCUGUGAAGUGUCCUUCGACCAACUAGUGCUAAUCCGGUCACUGUCUCCAGGUCACCAUACCUCGGUCAAUGAGCGGGCGAAGCACCCAAUGGCUCCAUCAGGAGUACAUCGUCAACUUCAGCCCGUAGUCAAACCGGUACAUGCACAAAUAUCUUAGUUGAGAGUGGGGGACAUCAGUAAAGUGCUUCUCAUCGGGGUAAUACAGUACCACUGUAUACAAUGACCCCAUUUUUUGUUGGAUUCAUUUCCACUGAGGAGUGGUCGAUAAUGAGAAUUUCAGGCCAGUCUGAUUAUCACCAGUACAGAGGGCAAUUAUCUAAUAGUUAUGUGGCUUUCCUUCAAACUGUAUACUCUUUCAUGUCAAUUGUAAAUUAGUGUUGCCUGGUAGUGUUCAGGGUCUUUUUGUCGAACAGGCACAUCUGCAUACCAGUAAUUAUGUGCAGACUUGGCACUUUCUUUGGAGCAGUACAGUUGUAAGAUAAAUCCUGUUUGUAAUUUUAUAAAUUAGUUGCUCAUUAAGGGCU